Pelodiscus sinensis (Chinese soft-shelled turtle) is the source of this 16371-nucleotide non-coding RNA. Lineage: Eukaryota; Metazoa; Chordata; Testudines; Trionychidae. The record is from RefSeq and is a predicted model, not a curated record.
CCCCCAUUGAGAUUGUUUUUCUGGGAGGCUCAGUGGAAGUUUGGACUUGGAGGCUGCUAGAGAUGAGGAGGAUUAACAACUGCAAUGCUAAUUGAGUGGAGGAAGAAGAGGAGGGGAAGGGCAGGGUUGCUCCUUUGGAUACGCAAGGACUGGGUUGGGGGAGGGCCAGGACGGGGGAGGCAGAGAGGAACCUGCUGCCGCUCGCUGGCUCUUUGUCUGCUCAGGGAACUUGAACAAAAGGAGAAACUCGGAUGAACUCUCCAUCUCUCGCUGUUUCUGGGUUAUCUAAUCUUCGGGAACUUUAUCCAGGGAGAAUUACCCAACUUCCUCCUCGCGCUCCUCACUACUGACAAAACAAGCGGCCUCCCGAGGAAGCCCCCCCACUUCGCUUGCAGAAGGUAAAGUGCUUGUCAGGAGCAUGAUGGCAGCCAAAACAUCUUACAGCAAUGGGUGCCAUAUUGAAUUUGCAAUGGUGGGAUAGCAUGGUGGAUACUUCAGUGUGGAUUAACAUAGUCCAAGCACUUCAUGACGAAAGACUUCCUACUUCAUCGUUUGGAUGUAUACAUCUAUUAAUAAACUGAUAAAACUGGUGGUAGUGGCUCUUGAAGUCAGAAAAUAUGGAAGUUGCUGUUGAAAAUAGUUUGGAGUAGAUCGCUUUGUGACAGUGAUAUUCUACAAUUACAAUAAGGAAUUGGCUAUCUCUUUCUUUCAUGUGGUUGCUGGAGCAUUGUCCUAGGACAACAAGGAUUGAUGAAUAAUCUUCAGGUAUGAGUCAUGUAAAUACAGUGAAAGAGGAGGAUUUAUGUUUCAGAAGUGGAAUUGUGUGUGUGUGAUCAAAGGAUUUACAUGCAGCACUCUGUGUUGAAGUUCCUUCCUGCUUGAGGAGGGACACCUGUGUUCUGCCAUUGGUACCAAAGCUGCCGAGAACAUCAACAAAAAACUUUCUGGUACUGGAUCGCUCUUCUAGAUAUCCAUCAAAGUCAACAUUCUCUUGAAAGGUGAUGUCUUCAUUUUACUAUCAAACAUGAUAAAGGGCCUCUAUCUGCAAGCUGGCAUUACAAUGCCUUCAUUGGUCUCAGAAGCUACAGCAUUAGAUACCACUGUGAUGAGCAACCUAGAAAUAUCAAGCACAGUUUUCCUGGCUAGCAAUGAGGCCCAGAAAUCAAGCCAGUGCUGCUAAGUGAGGGACCCACUCAGGAGCUGUUCACUGAUGACCAGAAAGGCUAGCUUGCCAGUCUUGCUGCUAUGGCAGAAGGUGCUGCAGUUGUGACCAAGCUAUGUCCAAGUUAUGCCUUUCUGUGGAUACUGAAGAUUACGGAUCCCUUUUGUGUUUGCUUUCAACAAAUGUUCCAGGGAUUGAAUUUACUAACAGGAAGGAACUAGUUGUGGAAAGUGAAUUUGAAGGAAGCACAGUAGAAUCUUUAUGAAGUAAUUACAGCCCAUUCCAAGGUCAUGGUGUUUUGACUGCGUCUAAGUAGAGCAAUCGCAUCUCCCCUCCGCCUUCUUUUGAUUUUGCUGAACAAGCCAAGCCUUUUAAAUCUUCUCUCUUAAGGUAAGUUUUCUGUUCCAGAGUUGCACUCAGUAUUUGAGGAGGUCUUACCAGUGCCUUGUAUAAUGGUCCAAACUCUUCUUCAAGUGAUGGUGCAUGUACAUUCCAAUAUGUGUGCAUGAUCAUCAGAAGACUUUUUUCCUAGUGGUACCCAUUAGGACAGCUGUGGCAUGCCUUGUGAUGACGCCUCACGGUGUAGCAUCUAUAUCCCAGCUGACUCCUGCUGCAGGUCCAUCUUUCCAUCAGUGAUAGUCAUUGCAGCUUCUGACUUCUAGCUUUGCAGAUAGUCUUGUUGUUUUUGUUGUGUAGAUUAGUUGUUCAAAGUUACUUACAGUAGUUAGCUUAGGGUUUUCUCCUCCCACCCCCUCAUAUUGUUUGUACUCCUGGGACAUGCAGCAGCCCCAGGGUUUCAAGCAGCAUGCAAAUUGUGGCAAAUUGCCUUUUCCCUCCAGUCAGGAUAUUUUUCUUUGUUUUCUUCCCUAAGCCCCAUGCUACAGAGAGAGAGUGGGAACGACACUCCUGGGAUGUGAGGCGUGCCCUCACUUUCUAUAUUGAGCUCUCCUAACUGUUCUGCCGAUGGACACAGCUUUUCUUUGCUAUUGCAAAGCCCGUGAAGGGCCUACCGAUUACAUCACAGCACCUGUCAUCCCGGAUCAUUACAUGUAUCAAGCUGUGCUACAACAUGUCCAAGGUACCAGCUCCACCUAUCACAGCACUUUCACCUUGGGUAUAAGCCUCGACAGUGGCCUUUCUAGCACAAAUCUUAAUUCAGUACAUCUGCAGGGCGGUUGUGUGGUCCUCCCUGCGCACCUGCAUGACUCAUUAUGCUCUCACCCAGCAGUCCUGGGAUGAUGCAGCUUGCAGCAGGACUGUUUUACUCUCAGCAAUGAGCUGAGGUCCGAUGACGACUCUGUACAUAUUGCUGGUAAUUCACAUAUUGGAAUGCAUGUGAGCAGUCACUCAUAGAAGAAAGAACAAUUACUUUUUGUAACUCUUGCUCUUUGAGCUGUGUAGCUCAUGUCCAUUCCUGACCCGCCCUUCUCCUCUCUCGUGGACUGUUCUGGAAAGAAGGAACUGAAGUGGGAGUCAGAUAUGUGAUUCUGUGAGGCAUCACCAUGAGGGGCACCAUAGCCGGCCUGAUGGGUACCACUAGAGAAAAGUCAUCCAAUGAUUGUGCAUGCGGUGCACACAUACACGUAUUGGAAUGGACAUGAGCAGCACAUCUCAAAGAACAACAGCUACAAAAGGUAAGUAGCCAUUCUUUCCUUGUCUCUACUGUGAAGACACGUUAGCACUUUUCAGAAUAACAUCUAUACAUGUUUUGUACACUGAAAUUCACUGGGAUGAAAAGAACCACUUUUCAUAUCUUAAUCCCCCGUCAAUGGGUAGGAGAACACAUCAUUUUAAUUUGGCCAUCAGAGAGUUUUUUUUAUCUUUCUCUGGUUCCCAGAACCUCUGCUUUGAAAUAGUUUCUAAAGAGAUGAAAAAGAGGUAGCUUUAAAAAGCACAAAUGUUACACUGAUGUAAAUGGUCCUUUUCUUUAUUCCUGAGUCCAGUUUAACAAAAACAUUUGGACAUCUUCCAUUUUAAUUUUUUUCAACUUUUUUCUUAACAUUUUUUAGAUUAAAAUUAGAAGAAAAGCAUGAGAGAACCCAAACCAAAAUAACCCAAAGUGUAUUGAUGUGUGAAAUUACUCAUUGUUAUGAUCCAGAAACUCAGACAUUCAAUGGGAUUCUGAAAAGAAAAGAAAAGAAAAGAAAAGAAAAGAAAAGAAAAGAAAAGAAAAGAAAAAGCACACACUGUAAAACACACAACUACAAAGGAAAAAGACCUUGAAUCUAGAGUGUAGUCAUACAAAGUGAAGAAUGCUACAACUUUGAAAGCAUUAAACCUGAUCCAGAAAAAAUGUGAAAUGCCCCAGAUACUUAGAUGUGAAUCUCUUUAAUCCAUGUAAGUAUUAGAAAAAUCCAAAACAUGUGAAAGUUCAAAAGCUAUAUAAAACCAUGAAAUGACUUCUCAUUCAUUUCUCAAAUAUUGGAACAUUUUCAUUGUGCUGAAUGGUUCUCUUUCCUGUUUAUACUGUAAAACUGCAGUUACUAACAACAUAUUGUUGAAUAUUACAAAGCUGAAAGUAAUUUCCAUUUAAUAAGAUCUUUUUGGCUGCAUAUUCUUGGCUUAUGUUAGGGUGCUUUUCAUGAUGUUUAAACCACGGGUGAUGUGCAGAAUUUCAGUAGUUGCUGCUAGGAAGAGGAAGGUGAUAAGUUUCCUUUUUUUUUUAAAUUAUAUUCUUUAAAUCACAUUUUUAUAGCAGGGUCAAGCUAUUUUAUGGAGGGAUUGUGGUGUCUGGGAUAGAGGUUGGUUGCAGAAGGAAGCUUGGGGUAUAAGACUAGGGUACAGGAAGGGAUGUAGGAUCUGAGAGGGAGUUUGGGUGAAGAAGGGGGUUAUUUGGGACAGGGGCUUGGGAUGCAGAGUCUGGGAGGGAGUUGUGACCUGGCGGAAGUAGGGGGCGGGUACAGAAGGUUUGGGCGGUGAUCUGGUAUAGGGAGGUGGUGGCUUGGUAGUAAUGGGGGGAGAUAUGGGGUGGGGUGGCAUAGGAAGGCUCUGGCUGGGAGGUGUGGAGUGGCUACCAGGGCACCUGUGCUUUUUCCUCUUUCCUCUUCUUGCAAAAGAAUUCCCUCUUUUCCAUCCACACACGCCUUUUUCCAAAAGAGCUAUUUCAGAAAAAGGCUUCUUCCUCGUAGAAAGGUUUACCAAUGUCAGAAAAAAUCCUCUGUUCUUUCGAUUUUCUUUCGAAAGAACAUGCUUGCAGUGUGGACAUAAUUGAAGUUUUUUCGGGAAAAUGAAUGUUUUUCCAAAAAAACUCUGUAGUGUAGAUAUACCCAGAGUUACCUAAUAUAAUACCAUACUUACAUCCCCUUCUCCCAGAAGACCAAAUGUGGAAGGACCAACCUCUUUCUGCUUGUGGGACUUUGGUGAAAGGUGAAGCAUGGAGAGCUUAGAAGUAAAGACUUAGAAAGAAUAAGUUAAGUGAAGCAAAGAGCUUUAGAUGAAAUAAAUAAAUACUUGAUGAGGAAGUAGAUAGAGCUUGUGCUUGAGCCCCGAGCUUCCUUAUUCCCAUUGCUUUUAUCUCUCUUUUUGCAUUAUAAUACCCUGAUCAUCAAAAACCAUCUUUCCGCACCCUGAGAUUUUGUGGGUACACAUACUUGAUUGGAUGGUGAUAUUGGGACAUAUUUUGAAUAUGCAUGAAUAAAAUCACCUAAUGCCCUCUUGGAAUCAUUCCCGGGCAUGAAAAAAGCGGGAACUUUGCAGUUAGAUGCAAGAGGGCCUGUUUCCUCCUGUAUCUUUAAUCCACAAUGUCAGUUAGCUGGGUUUGGCAGUUUUGGACUUAUUUUAGGUCUCACGAGGCACUGAGUCACAGACCCCAUCUCUGUACUGACCCAACUGAAAAUUUUGCCACAAGGUCUUUCAUAAUUUCUAAGAAGAUAUUACAAAUAUUUAUAAUUUCUAGAAGUUAAUUAAUCCUUACUUAUCACACUGCACUACUGGUAAAGCCAACUCAUACAGGCUAAAUCAAGUCCUGCGGGCCUUGCAUUACUGGCAUUUCUAUUAAAAUAUAGAAAAAGGGAUAGACUAGGAAAAGAUAUAAACUUGGCAGGUUAUAGCAGGGUGAGAUGGAAGCAAUAUAUGCCCCUGCCACAUGACGCUAUGCUGAAAUGAAGGAUAAUUAUAUGUGUCUCUAAGUAAAAUGGGAAAGGUACACAGUGUGGUAUUUGGAUUUUCUAAUUUGUGCCAUUUUUCUUCAAGCAUAUUGCUAUGCAGACACGUGGUGCUGUCCAGCGGCCACUCCUCAAAUAUUACUCUGGCAGACAAACCUUCACUCAGUAGCAGCAUUUGUUAUGGGGAUGAAGCAAACGCCUGCCCUUAUCAUGAUUAUCUUGACUGAAAAUCUUUUCCUUGGUUUCUUCCUUCCUCACUGAGGUCUUGAAAAGCUUCUCUGUGCAUUAUCUGCUUUUUUCAGAAUGCUCUAUAAAGAGGGGCUACUUAAUUCAUUCUGCUUGGGAACUUUAGAGUAUCAACCUUUCCUACCAUCAAAAGAUAGAUAAAGGGCAAUUGCACUUGGAAAGCUGCUGUAAAAGAAUUCUAAAAUACAGUGGCUCCAGUGACAUUCACAGACAACAAUCUGGUAUGUAUUUGUGGGGAAGGAGAACAACAGUGUGGCCUGUGAAUGACAUGUGCCAAUCGCAUAAUGUCACAUUACCAUUACUUAUGAAUAAAGAAAAAGGCCCAUUAUGUGAUAUUUAACGAAGAAACCCACUGUGCUGACAUGGAGAGGAUGGACCUGUGGUUAGGGCACUGGCUUAAGAGCUCAGGAGUUAUUCAUUCAAUUUUGGACUCUGCAAGAGAUUUCCUAUGUGAUGUUGAGCAAAUCACAGUCAAAUGUUCAAAAUACCAACAGUUGAAGCUAGGUUCUCGAAACUGUAUUGCCAUUUAGAGGCCAUACAUAUCUCAAUGGGAGCUGCAGGGCACUUUUAAAAAAUCUGAACCCAAUUGUUAAGGAUACAAUUUGGUCAUGGAGGUCAUGGAUUCUGCAACUUGAAUAGAUCUUAAUGACUUCUUUAGCUUCAGCCCUACUCAGGCAGGCUUCAGAUGUCGGCCUCGUCAGUAACAGGGCUUGGGCUUCCAUGAUGUAUUAUUUAAUGCUAUCCAUGUCCUAUCCAUGACUUUUACUAAAAAUACCCAUGACAAAAACCUUGGCUUUACCAACUCUGAAUGCUGUGCACUUCACAAUCUGACUCUUAUUCUCUCUUUUCCUUGGUUCACCAUCUGAAAAAAUCAAUAAUUCCUUUAUCCCACCUUUGGUGCCUGUUUUAUCCAGGCAAAUUGUGAGCUGUUUUGGGUAGGGGCUGUGUAUAGGCUAUGAUUUUGUUUGAUGGUAAUUGAUGAAUGAUAAAUGGGCCUGUGAUUAAUAAUUGACAUUGGGAUUCAUAUCAUUCAACUAGAGGAGGGUUCAGGUUAGUUGGAAUUUUAGAUAUGGAGUCUUAGCUCAGCUCAUUAUAUAGGGAGAGGGCUAUUUGUAAAGUUUGGUUCUGGAUCAGAACUCUGAGAUUUGGGGCUGUUCAGAUCCAGGAUUUUGGUGCAUGUUUAUCUCCAGUUUAUCUCUGGUGUAGUUGCGUUGAUGCAGCGUUUUAAGUGUAGACCUUCCCUUUGUUUCUUGGAGGAUGAUGUGUGAUGAAGAGGAGCUGCUGGAUUAACUUUCCUAACACUGCCCAACGAGUUUGAAGGAGUGAGUUUCCACUUAGUGCUGGACUAGCCAUCUUUGGCAACCAUUGGGAGAAAGCUAGGUAUCUUCAUAAACUACCCAGUAGCUUUGAUGAUGAUUAGAGCGUCACUAUUAGUUCUGCCUACAGGGGAUGCACUUCAAAAGAAUCCAUUCCAUGGGAUCCUGACUGAUCUUUUCAACAUUAAUCUCGCCUGUUCAAGUCUGCUGUACUUAUACUCUAAUCAAGUAUACGUUUAGAGGACAAGAAGCAAUGGGCUUAAACUGCAGCAAGGGAGCUUUAGGUUGGACAUUAGGAAAAAUUUCCUGUCAGGGUGGUUAAAUACUGGAAUAAAUUGCUGAAAGAGGUUGUAGAAUCUCCAUCUCUGGAGAUAUUCAAGAGCAGGUUAGAUAGAUAUCUAUUAGGUAUAAUCUAGACAGUGCUAGGUCCCCAUGAGGGCAGGGGACUGGACUUGAUGACCUCUCAAAGUCCCUUCCAGUUCUAGUAUUCUAUGAUUCUAAUCUGUGUGAGGGGCCAAUUGAACACUCUGGUUGUGGGAAGAGAAAAGCUUGCAUUGCUACCUGCCUCUGGGUCUUCUAGUUCUAGUUAUUCUCUCACAAUUUAAGACAUUUAGACAUUUAGGUACCUAAGUGUGUCUUUAACUUGGCCUAAACUGUUGGUACAAUUAUUUGAGCUGGCAGUUAUUAGCCCUCAAAAUAGUCAGCUUCAAAGUGACCUGGCCUCUAAGAUGUGUACAAACACUUAAAAAGUAUGCAAUUUUAAAAAAAAAAAGAAAAGCUAAAGGCUUUAUUUUGAAUUAUAGUGUGGUUUUAUUUGGGGUUUUUAUCAAAGAUUCAGGUCAGGUCCAUCUUUUGGCUAAAUUGGUUUUCCCAGCCUUAAUCAUAAACUGUUUUAAAUAAAUCUCGUGGACACAGAGGCUGUUGAAUUUUUUAGUUAUUUUGACAUAUGCACCCCAGGAUAAUUGUUCCUCCGCUUCAGUAUGAUAUUUGGUUAUAUUAUCCAUGACAAGUGUGGUAUUUCUUUAGUUUGCCUUUAUAAUCUCAGAAGUCUAUUCUCUUUAUAGACAUGUGUAACUUCCCUUAAUAUAUACUUGAGCAAUUCAGAAUUAACUGAAGAAUAAAUUGCCCCUCAUGAGUUGGGCAUCUUUUAAUAAAAAUUCUUAGACUGUUGAUUUACCUUUGGGAACAGAGUGAAUUUUUGUGGGGUUUUAGAUAUAAUUCUGGAAUGGUGUGCUCUACCUGGUAUCUGUUAAUGCCACAGAGACGCCACUUCUUGCUUGGUUGCUUGGUACAAGCAGGAUUCCCAAACUCUCCCUGAAUACCUUCCAAACGACAAUUUGGGAAAUUGUGGGCAACAACUAGUAGAAAAUUGUUGAUGCUGAGGCAGAGGAGACUGUAUGGCAGUUCUCCCCUCAGCCAGGACCUUUUCCUAACUCUGGAGCCAAUCCCCUCCCAGGACCUCUUGCUGCCAGAUACUAAUGUUGGGGGGGAGGCAUCUCAGGUGAGUGCACAUUUGUAAUUAAGCUACAAAUAUAAUUGGGUUUAAUGUUUGGUCUGCCCUAAAUAAUUGGGAUACGGUCGCAGCCAGUCCAGCUACCCAGAGGGUGCUCUCUGGAAAAGUCUGUUUAUGUACUUGGAGACAGAUUGGAUGUUUCUGUAAAGCUCUCCUGAAGGUACUAUGCAAUCCUUGUCAAAGGGUUUCUGGGGAGGGUGGCCUUAUUCCAUCCUCCAUGGUAGGACACCUUUCCACACCAAGGCCAGUAGUAGGCGAUCUGGCAUAAUUGCAGCACAAAACAUUGCAGUAAAAGGUCGUGGUCUCUUCCCAGAUUCAUGAAGCAGCUGCUCCCUAUCCUGCUCUCUUACCCUCAUGAGACUAAUGGCUCAUGGUUGAAAUGGGGGACAUUCUGUCAUUGAUAGUACUGAGGCAGUCCACCUCUGUUUCCUGAUCCCCAGCAAAUUGUGACCCUGGGUGGGCUGCCCUGUUUGGGAUUGACUUGAAGGGAUCAUCCCAAUGAUGUGCAUAUUCUGUGCCUCUCCACCCCAAACCCAAAGCCCCUCCUUUGCUAAUGCAAGCAUAUGAAAAAAGCAGUCAAGCAAUUGCCACGUUGCUGUGGGAAAGGAGGGCUGUAGUUUGCCACCCUUUCCUACACAAAGCAAAAGACCCCUUCUGGCCUUUUGCUUACUAUGUCUGCGUACAAACCAAAUUCUCCUGCCCAGUGCUUUGCUGUAUGUUAUACCUUACUGGUAGACUUUGUUCCCUCCAACUGUUCCCUUUCCUGAGAGGAAUGAAUUUUGUUAUGUGGACCAAUGUGGAGGUGAUGUGCAUAACAAAAUUGGGGUGUGGGCUCUGGGAUGGGGCUCGGGAUGAGGGGUUUGGAGUGCAGGAGAGGGCUCUAGACUGUGGGAUUUGGAAUACAGAGGACUGCAGGUUGAGGCAGGAGAUUGGGGUGCAGAAAGGAGUAAGGGCUGUGAGGUGGGCACAGGCAUGAGGAGUUUGGGAUGCAGAAGGGGGCUGCAGGUUUGGGGAGGGGGUCAGACCUGGUUGUUGGAGUACUGAUUAUCUCAACCUGCACGGCUUCUCCACUGCUGCUCCGGAGUCCUCUGGCCUAUGCUUGCUGUCUCUCGGUGAAUGGGGCCUGGGAAUAGCCUGCGGAGGGUGAGGGGGCCAGGAGAUGAGGCUAGCCACAGGAACUGAUGCAGAUCGCAUGGCGGGGGAGGUUGGGGGAUGCCCAAAAGUCCCCUGCAGCAUCUCCACCUAGCUCCUCAUCCUCCUUUAAUCCUGCCUUUCCUCAAGCACCAGCAUUCAAGGUUAAAUAAAAAACUCUUUCUACUAUUUUUCAUUGCAGAUAUGCAAUAUCAGCUACAUUAUGGGUUAAAUAGGCUUUGGUGUACUAGCCUGAGAAUCUAACUACCAUCUAUAACAUUGUUUCUAGGGGAAGAUGUGUUCUGAGUUCCAAACAACUGACUUACAAACUUUUGGCGCACAACCCUUUCAUAAAUUGGGGGCUUCCUGUAUUGAAGUGAAUCAGAAUGAUGAACUUUUGAUUAACCUAGGAUCUAAUUCAAAGCCCACUAAGUAAAUGGAAAGGCACUCAGUGAAGCACUGGGCUUUUAAUUAGGUCUUUAAAUGCUUUGGACAAGUUCAUAUUUGAUUAUAACUGGAUGGGCUUUCUUGCUAUUGGGAGAAAGAAGCCUUGACCAAAUUAACAGCAAAAUCCUCUGCAUGCUCAGGGCAGAUCUGUUGGUUCUGCCAGCUGCCCCAGAUUACAGAGGGUAGCUCAGAAAGUAGAUCAGCAUUAGGGGCAAAAAAGAGCUGGGGAAAAUUAGCCAUCCUUGUAGGCACCAUAGAUCGGCACUCUGAGAAUUUCAAAACUACUUAUGAACAGGGUUGGAUUUCAGCGAAGGAAAGGGGUUUUGUUUUGUUAUCAAAAUAAUGAACUUGGGAGGCUUGCUGGGGUUUUAGCUGUUUUAAGGUUUACUUCUCAAUGGACUUACACAUACAUAUAUAUGAUUUAAGGAACAAAUUCUGUUGUUUUUAAUCAGGCAAAACUUUCACUGAAUGAGUCAGUAAAAUCUGACAGCUAUGUACCUGGACCUGGCUUUUAGUAUCAAUAUUUCUUCCUUUCAAGGUAUCCCAACAAUGUGUCCCCUCUAGGGUUGUAAAUAUCCAUUACAAGUGUUAACUGCGUAAGCGAUAUAAUUAUAAUCAUUUAACCAUUUAACUGAUUAACUGUGCAGCUGAGGUCCAGUCAGCCCACCGCAGUCAAGGGGCUGCUCCAGCCAGAUGGGGUCCUGCUGUACUGUGGGCAGGAGGACUGCUCUGGUCUGUCAGAGUCCUGCCAACCAGGCUGCAGUGAGCAUGGUCUGCUCCCCCCCCCCCCUCAACCUGGCUUUCCGCGCUAAUGCCGACCAGGUAACUGGUUAACCUUUUUAUGUCACUAUUUCCCAUGUCAAUAAUCUUCCUUUUACCAUACAUCAAACUACCUCCUUUUUCAGUCAGAUUUCAAGAGUCCCACAAGAAUUACUUCAAUAAAAAAGUUAUUAAAGAACAAUCCAAGAGGCUGUUAUUGCCUACUCAAUAUUUUAAGAGCAUCCCAUUUUUCAUGUUUACCUUUUAGACUUGCAAGCCAUUUGGGGCACAGGCUGUUUUUAUUAUUGUUGCUGUUACAAUACAAAGUACACCUUUAGUGCCAAAUAAAGGAGUCCUGUUACCUCUCGUAUUCCUUCAGAGCCAGUUGGAAUCUGUUUCAUAUUUUUUCUUAGACUCCAACAUCAAUAGAUUGUAAUUCAUAUCUUUUUUGCUCCUCUCCAAUCCUCUCGGUAGCAUCAUUAUUGUUAAUGAUCCUUCAAUCCUGUAUUUUGAUAUCAGCCACUAGCAAUUCCCAAAACACCUUUGGUUAUAAGGCUUUGCUCCAAAACUGUGAAUGUAAAUAUACUAAUAUGGAAAUUAUAUUACAAUUCAGAAGCUCUAGAUUAGUUAUAUAGCUAUUUGUUCUAGUCAUUAAAAGACAGUGUUGUCUUCAAGUAGUCAUUGUCAAGUCCAAGUUGAGACUCAAGUGACUACAGUUCAAGUCUCAAGUCGAGUCUCAAGUCCCUAAAGUCACUUUCGAGUCAAGUCCCAAGUUGAGUCUCAAGUUUUAAUUUUAAAAAUGUCAAGUCACUUUUGUACAAGCCAUCAAUAUCGGCAUUUUCGGACAAUUUUUUCACCAAGUCAAUUUAACAAAAUUAGCAAGUCUCAAGUCAGAAACAAUGAACCCGAGUUGAGUCUCAAGUCGAGUCACCUAGGCAACUUAAGUUGGACUCGAGUUCAAGUUGUGGGACUCGAGUCAACAACUCUGCUAAAAGAAAAUGUCCACAGGUACAAAUGGUAGGUUGGCACCUAACUCCCAUUGAAAAUGUCCCCCUAAAAAUCAGAAUUUGGAGUAACUAAGACAAUUCAUCAUAGUUCUAAAGUUUCCUUAAAUGUUUGUGUGCAAGUUUAAAUCUGGAUGUUGGAAUAAGCUUUGACUGGUCAGGCUACUGCCAUUAUGUAGAGCCUUCUUUGACUUUAGUGGGGCUUUACAUUGGGCACAAAGACCCACCUGCACAGAUUUAGUUACAAGAUGAGGUUUUUAAUGCUUGUGAAAGGUGCAAGUCAUUUUAAAUCCCAAGUGAUGAGGAGAGCCCCCCAACACAAUGAGAAAGGGCACAGAAUUUCAAAUGAGAGAGGGGCACAGAAUUCAGUAUUUACUGACUGCAAGGAACAGAGAAUGAACAACAAAGCGAAAAAGACAGGGAUGGGAAGUUCAGGAGACAGGUUUAAAAUGAGAGAUCCAGAGAGGGAUACUGAGCAGAGAGCCCUGUUUAUCCAGUAUAACCAGAAGAAUGCUAGUGAAAUUAGAAAAUCUGGGGACGAAAUGUAAAGUAAAUCGGGCUACUUACUCAUUGUUAAUAUAAUACAUGGCACAUGAUUAAAAUUAUGGAAAUAGUCUUUUCUAGUGGCUGGGGAGAUACUUCUUAGAUUGUGUGCUAUCCUAUGACUUCUCAGGUCCCUCAACGGACAGCUGAUUAGAGGGUGGCAAAAAAGAAAACAAACAAUUAUUUGCUUUGCUUGGCAAUAGAUAUAAAAGCGUCUACCCUAAACUCAUUCCUAUGCCUUCAGUAUAAAACCUUGUGUUCUGUAUUUUCUCCAUGCACAGAUUAGGGAUGUUUCAUUUAAGGUACUGAAACUAGUUACAUUGAUUAGACUGAAAUAGCAACAUAAGCACCUCGUCCCACUAUCUAGCAGUAUUUGUGCAACAAUAACUCACCACAGGCCCUGUUAUGGAGGAGUUUGUAUCUAUAAUUUUUUAUCUCCUCUAUUCUGAGCUCUUCUGUCUCUUGCAAUGUACCACAGACCGAAAGCAAAUAAUGGAUUGCAGGUUGUGUUUUGCUGCGGUUAAAUAUUUUCACCCUUUGUAUGAAAUUAAAAAUUGACUCUGGCAGUCAGAAAAAAAAAAAGCUGAAGCAUGAUGAGUGCUUUCAGGGGAAAACUUUUAUUCCACACAGAAUGUACAUGCUGGCGAAAAUUUGGCUUUGUCCAAAGAUGUCAGCUUUUCUAAGUAAGGGUUUACAUUUUUAAUAUUACUUGUUUUAAAACAGAAAUGGGGAGAAGUGAUGUUUGGGAGCCACGUUUAGGCCUGUGUAUUGUCAGUGGAGUUGCAUUAAAUUUGAAAUAGGGCUCUGGCUCUACUAAAAUUCACUAAAGUUCCUUGUUGCCUUGUUUUCCACAUUAACACUCUCUGCAGCAUCUGGAUCCAGUGGUUAGAACACUAAGCUUAGACUCAGACAACCUUGUUUUAGGUAACACAGACUUUCUGUGUAACUCUGCACAAGCCUUUCUGUGUUUCAGUUCCCCAUCUGUAAAAUGGGGCUAAUAGCACUUAUCUACCUAUUGUGAGGAUAGAUACAUUCAAGAGGCACUCAUACUAUGGUGAUGGUUAUAAGUACCUGGGAUAAAUAGAUGCCCUGUGUCAUUACCCUCUCAGAGUAUAUUAAUGCUGCAGUUGGAAACAUGAUUCCCAGCAUGCCAAGAUAGGCCCUGUUUGAGCUAGCAUAAUAAAUUUGGCAGCGUAGUUUGGGAAUCGCAGGUUCAGUAACUUGCACUAACUCCUCAAUAUGCACACAGGGCUUCCAGGAGGUUUGUAAUCAGGAAGCAAAUUCAUGCUACCAUUUCCGGAAUCUCUGGCUAAACUGGUGUUUUCAGCAUGGUAGCUCAGGGAAAAUUAGUGCAUAUCUCUGUGUGUGUACUAGGAACUAUGCUCGCAGUUGCAAAGUAAGCAUUCCCUUAGACAUUAUGCCACAGCUUCCCUUUUGAACUCUCACUAACCCAGGUUACCAGUUUCCUUUCUUAUCCAGGUGUAAUUAAUGUCAGCACCAGUCUUUCACUUCUGUUCUCCUUCUAACAAAUUCCACCUCUUAUCCUUCUGCAGAAUCAACCAAGUAUGCUGUUUUCCCUGUAUCUUCCCUCUCUUUUUCCUUCUGAUGUGUUCAGUCCUAUUGUGCCUUCAUCAACUACCAUGCCAACUUCCAUUUCCUUCUUUCUCCAGAACUCCUGCUGCAUCCCUGAGAAACUUACAUUAGUCCAUGAUUGCUUAAUCCACCAUUCUCUCAGCGAAACCUGGCCUUCCAUUUCAUUUGAUAGCAUUUCCCUUUAAUUCAGGGGUAGUAGCAACGAGUACUUGUUCCGACCCAACUACUGCUUUCAGCUUUUCUUCCUCCUCCUUCUCAUGGUCUAUGAUUUAUCUGCUUCAAGAAUCUUCUUUUAAGAACAUAAGGAUGGUCAUACUGGGUCGGACCUAUAGCCCAGUAGCCUGUAUUCCAACAGUGGACAGUGCUAGGUGCUUCAGAGGGAAUGAACGGAACAGGUAAUCAUCAAAUGAUCCUAUCUAAUACUUGUUUCUUCCUGUUUCCUUCUUUUAACUCCCUUUUGGCAACUACAGUGUCCACCUUCAUGGCUGUCCAAUCUCCCCCAAGUAGUCUUGUAUCUGCGAAAAUUCUCUCUCCCAGUGUCACUAUUUGUGAACCCUUCACUGGUUAAUUUCCCUCUUUUUAUCUUCCCAUUACAGCCAUUCAUUACUCUUCUUUCUCACUUCUCCUACUCCCCCAUUCCAUUGCAUAUGUCUUCCAACGAAACUCCCAUUUUACAUAUCCACCAACAUGGUUAUGCCACUUUUAAUGUACCUUUUAUGCUUGUAACAAUCUCCAUUUCUAUUUAAAGCAAUCUCUUUUUAUUCAAACCAGAGGUGAAAGUAAGGGCAUGUGCCCUGGUGCACAGCUCCAGCAAGAACUGGCUGAGCUGCGGCAAAAGCCAGCAGGGAGCUAUUUAAAGAGCUGGCAGGGACCCAGGUUGUGAUAGGACAGUACUUGUAAGAAAUGUAAGUUGCUUUCACCCGUGAUUACCCCUUAGUGUAGUCCUCCAACAAGGACAUAUUAGAAGAAUUCUCUCCCUCUUCAAGAUUAAGCCGUCAUCUGGCAUAUUCUAUAUCUGAUCUGUAUUGCCAAUAUCUGAUCCAAGGUAGUGGUAAGGUCUACCUUUGUUGAUGCAGAAUGGAGAGUAUAAAUAAUUAUAACAAACCCUGGGGGAAAUUGGAUGUAAAAAAUGCAUUCUCAGAGAGCUCCAUCUUGAUCAGCUAGGGUUUAUUUCUAGUACAGUUGUUGAAUUUGUAUAGAUUGGGGCUACUUUUUAUCUGGUUACCCCUUUCACAUCCUGUGGUUCAUUCUUUGGUGUUGGAGUCACGUUUGCAGAUUUGGUCAGAACUCUGUUUGGUUAGAUGGAAGUUGAACCUCUCAUCCUGAAAAACACUUUGAACAAAUCCCAAGCGUUUAAUGCCUGCUGAGAUGGGCAAGUGGAGAACAGUGUCUCAAGAGUGGAAAGGUAGGGCAGUCUUUCAUCAGCAAGCUCAAAAACUUAGGAGGUGGGAGUCUGCAGCCUAGAAAAUGCUUUAUGUUUAUCAGUUAUAAAAAGACAAUAAAGUGUUCUGCCAACCAGGGAGUAGAUGAUCGCUGAACGAGUGAAAGGAGAACAUGAGCAUUUGUGAAGUGGGACUACUUUAAAUAAAUGAAUGUAGGGAUCUUAAUCUUAACUAAACAUUAAUUAAGAAAUGUUUGCACAGCUCUUAGAACAUGGAAAGCUCUGUACGUGCAAAGUAUUAUUAUUUUAUUAUUAUAGUAUCAUGAAUAAUCCUAAAUGUUAUUUGGCUUGAUGGUGCAUAACAUUGUUGGAAUAAGUGGAUCCUUUAGAACCCUUCAGCUUGUAAACACACUCCAGCAUUACCAUCAAGGAAUGUUUUGGUUGUCACUUCUGAGGCUCCGUCUAUAAUGCCAUCGUUAGAGCUGUAUGGAACACAGCCCCAACUGGGUAUCCUAGCAUUCAUAGACUGACAAGUUCCCUGAGAAAACAUUUUCAAAAACGAUAUCUGGUAUUGAAAUGUGCCCUCAGAUGGAAUUUGAGGGACAGGUAUUUCUGAUGUUUGUUUGUGCCUAAUUUGCAUAUCUUCUUUCGGAAGCCAUAGGUAAUCUAGACGUAGCCUGUGCCUAAAGCUGCUGGGAGACUGCCCUCUUGUUCCUAUGUAAAACCAUUGGCAAAGUCUGGCACUCUUGUUCCCAUGAACACCUGAUUCAUAUACCACAUUAUCAUGAUUUCUGAUAAAGUCACAUUUGGUGAGGAAAAUCAAACCCAAAUUAUAGUAAAUCCAGAAAAACUCGAUAUAAGUACAAUUAUAUUUUUGACAAGUCUAAAAUGUUUAAAGAAGAAUCUCUAAAGCGUGAACUUCUAUCGACACUUGUCUCAUCAGUAAAAUGUGGCUCAUGCUUCUAUCCCAGGAUUGAAUAAUCAAGACACCUAAUUAACUAUACAUGCUGUCAUUUUUACAACCCUUUUAUUUGGAUGUGUAUAAUGGUUUUUCUCUGUAACCUGGUGAACCUAAUAUAAGGCAAUGAAUUGUCAUAUGAGCUAAUCUCACCGUAUUCUUUUCUGUAUUUAAGGAAUUAAUAAAACUACAAAGACAUUAUUGCAUUCAAAUUA